AAGUCGCUUGAUGACAUGAGAUGUCACGAGACUUUUAAUCUUGGGGUCCAGGGUUCGAAUCCCUGCGGGCUCACCA
This 76-nucleotide transfer RNA is filed under the name Acidiphilium sp. PM. RNAcentral describes it as "tRNA-Lys". It matches the Rfam family "tRNA". Rfam says of the family: Transfer RNA (tRNA) molecules are approximately 80 nucleotides in length. Their secondary structure includes four short double-helical elements and three loops (D, anti-codon, and T loops). Lineage: Bacteria; Pseudomonadati; Pseudomonadota; Alphaproteobacteria; Acetobacterales; Acidocellaceae. The record is from RNAcentral.